CUUUCUUCGCCUUCGCUACAGUCUUACCUGUAGGGCUCGCUGCACGUUCUUCCCCGGCCAACCCCCUGCGAAGGCCCCUCCCGAAACCCCCCGCCACUGCCACUCUUCCAUGAACCCAACGCAAUGUGGUUCCAUUUCCAUUAAUUUGGUACGCUAUCGCGACGUAGAGUCGCCCGUGGAACUGAACUCGCUGCUUUCUGCGGUUUCGGUUGGCUCUUUUACUUACAUAUUUUUGCUGGAAGCGUGAAAUGUAAUAAUGAUCUUCUGCUUUGCAUUUUGACAAUAUUUCUUUUCUGCGGGUGCCAGCCGCAAAACCCGAACUUACACUCCUUCAUUUUUUUCCACCACCUCCGUCCACCGAAAAUAUGAUAAAUGUGUGCAUGUGUAAUUAAAGGCACCUUCUUGGCUUCUUUUCCGCCGUCUUUGGCUACUGCCUCGGAGCUUUCUAAUUAACCUUAGAACUUGGAGAAGGAUAAAUAUUGGUUUAAUGAUUAUUAAUAACCGAGAGCUCUCAGUGGCUUAGAGAAAAUUAGCCACCAAUUAUAAGCGCAGGUCUAAAGGAGGGAGAGAGACUUUACACGGGAAGAAAGAAAGGGUAACUUGUACAGCAACAUCGUGGAGGAUUUCGAUAUCCCAACCAAGACCUAGUCUCGGGACACAUUUAUUCGUUUUGUAUAGAUGCCAUCCAGUUCUAGCUCAACCAAUAGUUAAUCCCAUUGGACACAUGGCCCGAUCGACCGUUGCAGGCUAUAAUUAUGUACGCGUUCGGCUAAACAUAAUAAUGGCCAAGUGAUUAACAGUCAUGGGAAAUGAAUUGCCCGCAAUUUCCCAGUUGGACGGCGGAGGAUGUGGAGGAUCGGUGGAUCCGUGGGUCCGUGGAUUGGGUGGUGCGACUGCUGCUAAAAACCUGUGCGUGCCCAUUGCAAUCGAAAAUUCUAUCGCAAGUAUAACGCACCGAGAUUUUGGCCCUUCGUUUUGGUUGGCAUUUUGUUGGUAAAACGGCCGCCGGGUGGACGCCGACGCCGACGACGAGGUUGACUGCGACGCGACUGCGACGCACAGUGGGCUUAAUGUGACCGACGCGGCUGCUGGUUGGACUCCUUGCAAUCUGGAUUUCUGGAUUUUCCACCAGGAGGCUCUCGUGGGGGGGAGGGGCCUGGAUGGCCUUCGCCUUUAACAGCAUUCAUCCAUCUAUACUCGCGGCUGCCGCUGCUUCUUCUUAGCUUGAUCUUCUGAUCCUCACCAUUUGUAUUUGUGUGAAGAAUUGCACUGGAAUAAAUGUUGUUUUUAAAUUA
Long non-coding RNA from Drosophila suzukii, 1295 nucleotides. RefSeq lists it as uncharacterized. NCBI's taxonomy places the organism in Eukaryota, Metazoa, Arthropoda, Insecta, Diptera, Drosophilidae. The record is from RefSeq and is a predicted model, not a curated record.